This 67-nucleotide transfer RNA is filed under the name Trachys variolaris. Its description in RNAcentral is "tRNA-Ile". The record is from RNAcentral. Lineage: Eukaryota; Metazoa; Arthropoda; Insecta; Coleoptera; Buprestidae.
AAUGAAGUGCCUGAAUAAAGGGCUAUUUUGAUAGAAUAGAUCAUGUACUAAGCAAUUACCUUCAUUA